This 75-nucleotide transfer RNA is filed under the name Verrucomicrobiota bacterium. RNAcentral describes it as "Verrucomicrobia bacterium tRNA-Gly". It matches the Rfam family "tRNA". Rfam says of the family: Transfer RNA (tRNA) molecules are approximately 80 nucleotides in length. Their secondary structure includes four short double-helical elements and three loops (D, anti-codon, and T loops). Further hydrogen bonds mediate the characteristic L-shaped molecular structure. tRNAs have two regions of fundamental functional importance: the anti-codon, which is responsible for specific mRNA codon recognition, and the 3' end, to which the tRNAs corresponding amino acid is attached (by aminoacyl-tRNA synthetases). tRNAs cope with the degeneracy of the genetic code in two manners: having more than one tRNA (with a specific anti-codon) for a particular amino acid; and 'wobble' base-pairing, i.e. permitting non-standard base-pairing at the 3rd anti-codon position. RNAcentral also lists the same sequence under 1 other name. The record is from RNAcentral. Lineage: Bacteria; Pseudomonadati; Verrucomicrobiota.
GCGGGAGUAAUUCAGUGGUAGAAUGACAGCUUCCCAAGCUGUAUGUCGCGAGUUCGACUCUCGUCUCCCGCUCCA